GCAGAGCAUCCUACGGGAGGCAGCAGUGGGGAAUAUUGCACAAUGGGCGCAAGCCUGAUGCAGCCAUGCCGCGUGUAUGAAGAAGGCCUUCGGGUUGUAAAGUACUUUCAGCAGUGAGGAAGGUGGGUAUGUUAAUAGCAUACUCAUUUGACGUUAGCUGCAGAAGAAGCACCGGCUAACUCCGUGCCAGCAGCCGCGGUAAUACGGAGGGUGCGAGCGUUAAUCGGAAUUACUGGGCGUAAAGCGCAUGCAGGUGGUUUGUUAAGUCAGAUGUGAAAGCCCGGGGCUCAACCUCGGAAUUGCAUUUGAAACUGGCAAACUAGAGUACUGUAGAGGGGGUAGAAUUUCAGGUGUAGCGGUGAAAAUGCGUAGAGAUCUGAAGGAAUACCGGUGGCGAAGGCGGCCCCCUGGACAGAUACUGACACUCAGAUGCGAAAGCGUGGGGAGCAAACAGGAUUAGAUACCCCGGUAG
This 472-nucleotide ribosomal RNA is filed under the name uncultured bacterium. Its description in RNAcentral is "bacterial SSU rRNA". It matches the Rfam family "Bacterial small subunit ribosomal RNA", at positions 329 to 793 of the family's 1533-position model. The record is from RNAcentral.